This is a non-coding RNA of Acanthosepion pharaonis, 114 nucleotides long. Lineage: Eukaryota; Metazoa; Mollusca; Cephalopoda; Sepiida; Sepiidae. The record is from the annotation of a GenBank genome assembly.
UACAGCCAUAUCAAGUUGAAACACCAGAUCUCAUACGAUCGCCGAAGUUAAGCAACGUCGAGUCUGAUCAAUGCCUAGAUGGGUGAUCGCGCUUGGGAAUACAAGAUGUUGCAA